RNAcentral lists this ribosomal RNA (225 nucleotides) under uncultured bacterium. RNAcentral's name for it is "partial 16S ribosomal RNA". It matches the Rfam family "Bacterial small subunit ribosomal RNA", at positions 109 to 334 of the family's 1533-position model. The record is from RNAcentral.
AGUAAAGAAUCGCUAAUGUACCCCGGACUCUGGGAUAGCCGGCCGAAAGGCCGGGUAAUACCAGAUGAUAUAACCUUCCUGCAUGGGAGGGUUCUCAAAGGUCCGCCGGUCUGGGAGCAGGCGAUUUCGUAUCAGCUAGUUGGUGAGGUAAUGGCUCACCAAGGCGACGACGCGUAGCCGGACUGAGAGGUUGGCCGGCCACAUUGGGACUGAGACACUGCCCAG